AUGUUCCACCACCUCCGAACGCGCGUCCUUCCUCUCCUCCUCCGCUACCCACCAUCCCAUCCCCCCGCCUCCCACCUCGUUCCCCUCCACCGCCUCCUCUCCACCACCGCAUCCAUCUCCCCCAAACCUUUCUCCGCCAAGGACUUCCUCGUCACCGACUGCGGCCUCACCCGAGCGCAGGCCCUCAAGGCCUCCAGAAGGCUCUCCAACCUCACUUCCCUCUCGAAGCCCCAGGCCACGGUGGCCUUUCUCUUGGGUCGCGGCGUCCCCCGCUCCGACAUCGCCGUCGCCGUGGUCGCCGAUCCGUCCCUCCUGUACGCCAGCGUGGGGAUGGUCCUCGCCCCCCGCUUCGCCGAGCUUAGCGAACUCGGCUUCUCGCCUUCGCAGAUCGUGGCCAUCCUCUCGAUCCGCCGCACGGGCGCUCUCCGCGGCAACCUCCUGUUCUGGUUCGGGAUCUUCGACUCCUACCCCAAGCUGCUCUUUCUGGCAAAGUCAAACCGCGAGCUCCUCAGCGCCAGCAUCGAGAAGGUGAUCAAGCCGAACCUGGCCACCCUCCAAGAAUGUGGGAUAAGUGCUCCUGAUAUUGCAGUUUUAAGCUUGUACUCCUGUCGGUUGUUCACCGUGAAACCCAAGUUUCUGGUGGACGCCGUGGCGCGGAUCGAGGAGUUAGGCGUGCAGCGAAGCUCGUGGAUGUUCCGCCGUGCACUCGCUGCACUCGCCUUCAAGAGCAAGGACGUUCUCGCCAGGAAAAUACAAUUUUUACAUACGCUUGGGUUUUCACAGGAUGAUUUGGUGAAUAUCGCCAAGAAGGCGGCACUUGUCCUGGCUUUAUCUGAUAAAAAGAUUCAGCGAUCUGUGGGGUUCUUAAUGAAGGAUGUCGGUCUGCAGGCUUCGUACAUUGCUCGAAGGCCAGCGCUGAUCAUGUAUAGCGUUGAGAGGUGGUUGUUGCCCCGGUACUCCCUGCUUAAGCUUCUCAGGCAGAAGGGAUUACUGGACGUGGAAUUGGACUAUUAUACCAUGGCAUCGCUGGCUGAGAAGAAGUUUGUGCAGAAUUUUGUGGAUCCUUAUAAGGAUAGUGUUCCAGGCCUAGUUGAUGAGUAUGCCUCUGCAUGUCGUGGGAAAGCACCAAAAGGAAGUGCUCGGCUACAACGCUGA
RNAcentral lists this ribosomal RNA (1155 nucleotides) under Triticum aestivum (bread wheat). RNAcentral describes it as "partial small subunit ribosomal RNA". Lineage: Eukaryota; Viridiplantae; Streptophyta; Magnoliopsida; Poales; Poaceae. The record is from RNAcentral.